This is a long non-coding RNA of Lolium rigidum, 401 nucleotides long. RefSeq lists it as uncharacterized. The transcript has 4 exons. The record is from RefSeq and is a predicted model, not a curated record. NCBI's taxonomy places the organism in Eukaryota, Viridiplantae, Streptophyta, Magnoliopsida, Poales, Poaceae.
UUGCAGAGGGAAGGUCAUGUCGACAACUUCCUUAUUCCAGUUUUUUGUCGCAAGUUGUUCGAGGAUAAUCAUCCUAGUAAAUCUGGGAGGCACCAUUUCUUCUCCUUCAUUGGUGAAAACAUUUUGGAUUAUAAUAAUGAAGCUCAGCUUGAUUUAAUUUCCAAGGCUUUCAUUGGUGCUGCAUCGGCUAGCAAAGGGAAAAGACUGGAGUUAUUUGACAGGCUAUUUUUUCCAAUUUGUCGCUCACAUCACUGGUUUACCUUCUCCGUUGAUUUCAAAUUCAAGCUGUUUGUCUUUCUUGAUUCCCUGUAUAACAAGGACGAUGAUUUCCACACUUCCAUCAAGAAUGUCUUGAUAAACAACUUUGUGAAACUAUGGCAAAUUAUAUUCAAAAGUGAAGA